Molecule: ribosomal RNA, 253 nt
Filed under: uncultured bacterium
Lineage: Bacteria
Description: partial 16S ribosomal RNA
Rfam family: Bacterial small subunit ribosomal RNA
Source: RNAcentral
UACGUAGGGGGCAAGCGUUGUCCGGAAUCAUUGGGCGUAAAGCGCGUGUAGGCGGCUCGAUAAGUCUGCUGUGAAAGUCCAGGGCUCAACCCUGGGAUGCCGGUGGAUACUGUCGAGCUCGAGUCCGGAAGAGGCGAGUGGAAUUCCUGGUGUAGCGGUGAAAUGCGCAGAUAUCAGGAGGAACACCAAUGGCGAAGGCAGCUCGCUGGGACGUGACUGACGCUGAGACGCGAAAGCGUGGGUAGCGAACAGG